AUUUAUGUAACUGAUAACAUAAAUUACAGUUAAAUAUAAUGUAAAACACACCACAAUAGGUUCUGUGAAAAUCAGGGAAACCGCCUGAGUAGCAGCUUGAACAAUUGCAUUUUUUGGAUCACGUUCGCGUUUGUGAACUGUGUACCAUGCAGAAUUACCGGUUGUUUUACGUAAGUGUUUUGCUUUAUAGUCAAGGAUGGUAUCUUCGUGAGGUACUGGAAAUGCGAGGAACACAACCACAAGAAUAGUAGCAGCCCAAAUCAUGUUGAUCCAAAAUGUCCAUCUCCAUCCUAAAUAGCUCUGCGAAAUAAAAUUGCCAAUAAUUGGUCCAAUUAUGGGACCUAAAUAUGGAAAGGUGCAUAGUGCGGGAAGAACAUAAGUACGUUGGAUCGGUGUGAAUAUAUCACUAAUUGUUCCUCCGCAAUUUGCUAGAGGCGUACUUCCAAAAAAACCCUGAAGAAACCUGAAUAUGACUAAUGACCAAACAUUGCUAGCGCAACCACUACCGAUUUGAAAAAUAAUGAAGACAAGCAGAGUUCCAAUGUAUACAAUAAGUCUUCCGUAUAUACUGCUUAGUGGAGCAAAUGGAAUAGAGCCUACACCGAAACCGACCAAGAAUGUGCACGUUCGCAGAGUGGUAACUAAAAUAGAAGAUCCAAAUCUUCCGAUAUUUCAACUGUACCAGUGGAGUAAACACUGGAAGCGAAGGUUACAACUAUCGUGAUAGUGGAAACCUGAAUAACGACCCACCAUUUUCUAGUGUAUGACCAAUUUCGAGGAUUUAAAGGGUCAUUUAAACCACCCCAAGUAACCAAAUAUGGAACUUGGAUUCUCGUAUCUACUUUUGAAUCAUGUGAAAAAUCGCUUUUGUUGUCAGUCGAUAGCUUUUCGGUAAUCUUUCGAUUAUUUUCA
Molecule: non-coding RNA, 912 nt
Organism: Schizosaccharomyces pombe (fission yeast)
Lineage: Eukaryota; Fungi; Ascomycota; Schizosaccharomycetes; Schizosaccharomycetales; Schizosaccharomycetaceae
Source: the annotation of a GenBank genome assembly